GAUCUCUUCUGGAGAUCCCUCCUCUGGAAUUUUGCAGUAAGCCCAGGAUGCAGGUGGGGAAUGAAAAUGGCACCUCUAAGCCUUGAAGCAGAGAUCUCUGUCGUGUCAAGAUCCUUCCCUAUGAAGUUCAGAUCCAAGCCUUGUCUUCAGGGGACACAGAGACUCCUGCUACACCACAGUCACAGCCCAGAGAAAAAUGACAGCAAACUCGAUGCUGUUCUCAGCUUAUCUGCCAAGACCAAUGUAAUGCUGAAGAUGCUGAUGUUCAAUGACAAAAGCAGAAAGGAAAAAUUGUUUCUUAUCUAAAAUCAAAUAGGUGAAGUAUGAAACUAUUCAAUCAUCUUGACUUUCAUGAAGAUCAGCACACACACAAAAAAGCUGUAAUUGUUAUGCUCUCAUGUAAAAUUACAGAGACUGU
Tympanuchus pallidicinctus (lesser prairie-chicken) is the source of this 418-nucleotide long non-coding RNA. RefSeq lists it as uncharacterized. The transcript is spliced from 3 exons. Lineage: Eukaryota; Metazoa; Chordata; Aves; Galliformes; Phasianidae. The record is from RefSeq and is a predicted model, not a curated record.